AACGCACAUUGCGCCCGCCAGUAUUCUGGCGGGCAUGCCUGUUCGAGCGUCAUUUCAACCCUCAAGCUCAGCUUGGUGUUGGGGAUCGGCAAGGCGUCCUUCGGGUCGCGCCGUCCCCUAAAUAUAGUGGCGGUCUCGCUGUAGCUUCCUCUGCGUAGUAAUACACCUCGCUCUGGAGUCUCGGUGCGGCCACGCCGUAAAACCCCCAACUUUUUUCUGGUUGACCUCGAAUCAGGUAGGACUACCCGCUGAACUUAA
Molecule: unclassified non-coding RNA, 258 nt
Filed under: uncultured fungus
Lineage: Eukaryota; Fungi
Description: sequence contains ITS2
Rfam family: 5.8S ribosomal RNA (bases 1-52)
Source: RNAcentral